Molecule: ribosomal RNA, 495 nt
Filed under: uncultured bacterium
Lineage: Bacteria
Description: bacterial SSU rRNA
Rfam family: Bacterial small subunit ribosomal RNA
Source: RNAcentral
GACGAACGCUGGCGGCGCGCCUAACACAUGCAAGUCGAACGGAGCGUUUGGAGUGAUUUUCUUCGGAGAUGAACUUUGAAUUGCUUAGUGGCGAACGGGUGAGUAACACGUGAAUAACCUGCCCUGGAGUGGGGGACAACAUUUGGAAACGAAUGCUAAUACCGCAUAAGACCACAGUACCACAUGGUACAGUGGCCAAAGGAGCAAUUCGCUCUGGGAUGGAUUCGCGUCUGAUUAGCUAGAUGGUGAGGUAACGGCCCACCAUGGCAACGAUCAGUAGCCGGACUGAGAGGUUGAACGGCCACAUUGGGACUGAGACACGGCCCAGACUCCUACGGGAGGCAGCAGUGGGGAAUAUUGGGCAAUGGGCGAAAGCCUGACCCAGCGACGCCGCGUGGAGGAAGAAGGUUUUCGGAUUGUAAACUCCUGUCUUCGGGGAAGAUAAUGACGGUACCCGAGGAGGAAGCCACGGCUAACUACGUGCCAGCAGCCGCC